RNAcentral lists this long non-coding RNA (1142 nucleotides) under Brassica napus (rape). RNAcentral describes it as "long non-coding RNA (BNAP_LNC004686)". The record is from RNAcentral. Lineage: Eukaryota; Viridiplantae; Streptophyta; Magnoliopsida; Brassicales; Brassicaceae.
AAAAAUAGUGGACUAAAGAAAAAAAGUUUCCAAGUCGAGAAGUCUCCGAAAGAAAAAAAAACCUAAACCACCGUUUUUCCUCCGGCGUGGCCGUGCCUUCUCCGACGCCGGAGGGCCUCCCUCUUUCUUAAUCUCUCCUUCCUCUCGCCGCUCCUCUCCAUCCUCCCCAUCGGUUCCUUUCUUGGAGUUCUAGGGUUUUGCGUACCCGCGGCUCAGAUCUGGCGCUUUGACUUCGGAUCUCCGGAGAAUCGAGACGGAGAAGUGGAUGUGUGGUUUCUCUCUGGCAAAUCGUCGUGGUGGUGGUCUAGAUCUGGGUCAGAUCUGGAUUUCGGAGGCGGGGUCUCUCUCUUCCUCUGCCUCUUCGGUUUGCUUUCUCGGCUCGGGUGAGUCGACUCGCUAGGUUGAAGACGUUGCUGUGUCUCCGGGGUAGCUGAGUUGCGGUGUUUCUUAUGCUACUUCGGAGGUCGUCUGUGUCGUUCUCGUUAAGCCGGUCAGUACGACUCUCGGGGGCUCGUCGGAGUUGCCACCGGUUCCAAGCCAUGUUGGUCUGUUGCGGGUUCUCCGCAGCGGGAGCGCGUGCGAGGAGGUAGUCGCUGGAGUUGUCAACCACGGGUUCUCUUUUCGGUGGCGGCGCGUGCGGAUUUGCAAGUUUCAGGGGGUUGAUCUUGGGCUUCCUCUUGACCGUUUUGACUUAAGACGGGGCUUGCUUUCUCUGUCAUUUGGUGUAGGUUCGGUGGUGUGUGGCGGCUUUGGUGGCUCCUUUCCAAAUAAAGCUCGUCUUUGUCUGAGUGGGUGUCUUGGUCUCGGGCGAAGGUGUCGAUCCGUGAAGGCUGCAAGCCAAGAUGUCUUCGUAAGCUGUUCUUGAAGAGCCUAUUAUAAAGAACUGAUCAUCGAGUAUCCCAAACUCUACCGGAUUCAGUUCUCGGAUUCACUGCAGGCUUCAUUUUGCGGCAAGCGUUGUUCAAAUUGUCAAGUAUCUUUUGCCUUAGAUUCCUAGCUUCUAGUCAGUCCCAACCAGUUUAGAUGGAGUAUGUGUUUAGAUUUAUUUAUGUUCUCUGUUUCUUUGUUACCUCUGUCAUUCUGUAAAAAAUCUGAAAAUGGUAAUGGAAUUUUAACAUUGUUACCAAAAAAAAAAAAAAAAA